UACGUAGGGGGCGAGCGUUGUCCGGAUUUAUUGGGCGUAAAGAGCUCGUAGGCGGUUUGGUAAGUCUGGUGUGAAAUCUCCACGCUCAACGUGGAGGGGCCACUCGAUACUGCCAUGACUCGAGUCCGGUAGAGGAGUGUGGAAUUCCCGGUGUAGCGGUGAAAUGCGCAGAUAUCGGGAGGAACACCCGUAGCGAAGGCGGCACUCUGGGCCGGAACUGACGCUGAGUCACGAAAGCGUGGGGAGCGAACAGG
RNAcentral lists this ribosomal RNA (254 nucleotides) under uncultured bacterium. RNAcentral's name for it is "partial 16S ribosomal RNA". It matches the Rfam family "Bacterial small subunit ribosomal RNA", at positions 524 to 776 of the family's 1533-position model. The record is from RNAcentral.